GGCCGGGGCAGCUCCCACUCCUCUCUCCUGGGCAGGAUUUGCUCUCCCGCCUCUAUGGGAACAUCGAUUUCUGGCUCGGGCUGCGCAGACGGGGCGAGCGCCUGCACUGGGGGGACGGCAGCAGCUACAGCUCCUGGGUUCCUGUCCUCGGCAGUUCCCAGUGUGUGUACCUGGCUGACGAUAAAUUCAGGAAUGGGAACUGCUCCAAUGAGGGGCCAUAUCUCUGCAGCAAGGCCCAAGCUCCCCUGUAACAGGGGCUGCGCAAAGGACCUUCUCCACACUGAGCAGUUCCAGCUUCACCUCUGAGCCCGGCACAGCGCUGUCCUUCCUCAGCUGCGCCCUGUGUCUUGCACUUCCUCUCAGGGUCACCUCAGUGCCUCUUCAUCCCCAGUGCCAACACUGGGCUGGGGCUGCAAAGGAAAAGUCUCUGCAAUCCAUCCUGCCACCGAUGCUGCCUGCAGUGAGUGCAUUGCCCUCAUAUGUGGGUAACACGGCUCUCUGAUUAAAAUGUUUAUGGAAGUUUAUUAGGGGAUAAAAUCCCACAUUUGAGUGCUUGCCUCUUUGCACACAGUUAACUUCAACUGUCAUCUGUAUAUACUGUUUCGUUACAGACCUUUAUGCAUAUUUAUGACAGUUUAUACAUGUUGAAACAUUCAUUUGAGUUAACAUGUUCUUUUGCUUGGUUUGAACCUUUGACUUGUCUUCGUUCCUCCUUAUUGAUUAAAUGAAUCUAUUUUAGUUUUUCUUGUGUUUCUAUUGUAUUUUCACUCCCUGAUAACAAGGGUCCAUACAAUCUUUUUUUUUUUGGUUCUCUGGUUUCCCUUUCUAUGAUCUUGUCUUUUAGAUAAGACAGUUCCCAAAGUUGGGAAGUCAAUUUUUUACACCAUUUGCUGCAUUAAUUACAUGAAAAAGUAAUUUCAACAUUUCACAGUCUCUAUUUAGCUAUGGUCUAAGAUAGAAUACAUGACACCACUAUUUAUAAAAGCUAUAGGGUGCAUAGAUAAACUGACAGAUUAUACUAUAUCAAAAUCAGGAAUUACAAAUUAGACUGUAUCAGGAUUUUGUGAUCAAUAGUAACCUGCAACACAAAAUUUAGUACAUAAAUGUGAAACCUAUACCUAUAUUUCUUAUUUGUAACAUCACACAACAAACUCAAUUGGGAAAUUCUAAUCACUCUGGGCUCUUGGAAAUCAUCAUGAAGUGAGUGGCCUGAAGGUGACAAUUUUGGACUGUCCUUGGAAGAUGUGAGGAAGGACCUUCACUUUUAAAAUUUUAAAGGUUCAUUAAAUCUUAACAAAAAACUACA
RNAcentral lists this long non-coding RNA (1306 nucleotides) under Junco hyemalis (dark-eyed junco). RNAcentral describes it as "lncRNA (ENSJHYG00000013574.1)". Lineage: Eukaryota; Metazoa; Chordata; Aves; Passeriformes; Passerellidae. The record is from RNAcentral.